GAUGAAGAACGCAGCGAAAUGCGAUAAGUAAUGUGAAUUGCAGAAUUCAGUGAAUCAUCGAAUCUUUGAACGCACAUUGCGCCCGCCAGUAUUCUGGCGGGCAUGCCUGUUCGAGCGUCAUUUCAACCAUCAAGCCCCCGGGCUUGUGUUGGGGACCUGCGGCUGCCGCAGGCCCUGAAAACCAGUGGCGGGCUCGCUAGUCACUCCGAGCGUAGUAGUUACAUCUCGCUCAGGGCGUGCUGCGGGUUCCGGCCGUUAAAAGCCUUUUACCCCAAGGUUGACCUCGGAUCAGGUAGGAAGACCCGCUGAACUUAAGCAUAUCAAUAGCGGAGGA
Molecule: unclassified non-coding RNA, 334 nt
Filed under: soil metagenome
Description: partial contains 5.8S ribosomal RNA, internal transcribed spacer 2, and large subunit ribosomal RNA
Rfam family: 5.8S ribosomal RNA (bases 1-120)
Source: RNAcentral